CUUUGCCCAAAGCAAAGCCUCCACCUGCGUGCUUGCAAGCCAUUAAUGCCUAACUAAAUGACACCGCUGGAGCCAGGAAUGAAGGUCAGCUGUGUAGAGGUGAAUGGAGCUAUUUCUCCUGUGCAGUGAUGCUGUGCCACCCGAGCUCCUGCGUAACGCUGAAGCGCAGUGAUGGGGACUGUCCCGUCCAGCAGACAGCAAUGGAUACAUAAAUAUGAGCACAGAGCUGCUGUGUUGGCUCCCCAGGACCACCAUACCCAUUAUGCUGCAGUUUGACCUCCGG
RNAcentral lists this long non-coding RNA (283 nucleotides) under Gallus gallus (chicken). The record is from RNAcentral. Lineage: Eukaryota; Metazoa; Chordata; Aves; Galliformes; Phasianidae.